This 492-nucleotide ribosomal RNA is filed under the name uncultured bacterium. RNAcentral's name for it is "partial 16S ribosomal RNA". It matches the Rfam family "Bacterial small subunit ribosomal RNA", at positions 29 to 507 of the family's 1533-position model. The record is from RNAcentral.
AGUGAACGCUGGCGGUAGGCCUAACACAUGCAAGUCGAACGGCAGCACAGUAAGAGCUUGCUCUUACGGGUGGCGAGUGGCGGACGGGUGAGGAAUACAUCGGAAUCUACUUUUUCGUGGGGGAUAACGUAGGGAAACUUACGCUAAUACCGCAUACGACCUACGGGUGAAAGCAGGGGAUCUUCGGACCUUGCGCGAUUGAAUGAGCCGAUGUCGGAUUAGCUAGUUGGCGGGGUAAAGGCCCACCAAGGCGACGAUCCGUAGCUGGUCUGAGAGGAUGAUCAGCCACACUGGAACUGAGACACGGUCCAGACUCCUACGGGAGGCAGCAGUGGGGAAUAUUGGACAAUGGGCGCAAGCCUGAUCCAGCCAUACCGCGUGGGUGAAGAAGGCCUUCGGGUUGUAAAGCCCUUAUGUUGGGAAAGAAAAGCAGCAGGUUAAUACCCCGCUGUUCUGGCGGUACCCAAAGAAUAAGCACCGGCUAACUUCGUG